Peromyscus eremicus (cactus mouse) is the source of this 497-nucleotide long non-coding RNA. RefSeq lists it as uncharacterized. The record is from RefSeq and is a predicted model, not a curated record. NCBI's taxonomy places the organism in Eukaryota, Metazoa, Chordata, Mammalia, Rodentia, Cricetidae. The transcript is spliced from 2 exons.
CCCAACCUGGUUGUCAGGCACUCGCCUACCUCUAAGUACUUUUUGUUUUAAGAUGCUUUUGAUUCCUUUAAAAUUAAAAACUUCAUUUAAAAAUAUAUCUGCUACCCCAUAGGGCUAGCUAUUUCUAGUGGUUCAACCAUUCCAAUUCAAUGUUUAGUCACAUAUGUAAAUAAGGUGCCAGGACCUUGAAGCAAUAAUGACUUUUCGUUUUGUAAUCGUAACCAUGGUAUCUGAAAGUGAACUCAGGCAGAAAGGAUGCAGGGCCUGUGUGUUUGGGAUGAAGAGGAUACUAUUCCUGAACUGUAAUCACCAUCCAAGGUGGGGAAGGAAAGACCAAAACAGUAACAGGUUCAAAUCCAAGGCACAGACUCAGCCAGUGGACAAACAAAAGGAAUCACUGGCAACAAUGAACAGAAGCAGCUUCACCAGAGCAGCCCUGUAGCCUGCUCCCAGCAGAAGACUGUAAGGACGCCUUGAUUAAAUGGAGCUGAAUCAUU